GGGCGAAUGGUUUAGUGGUAUAAUACUCCCUUAGCAUAGCCUGCACAUCUGGGAGUGGUCCAGGGUUCGAUUCCCUGUUCGUCCA
Molecule: transfer RNA, 85 nt
Filed under: Epichloe festucae Fl1
Lineage: Eukaryota; Fungi; Ascomycota; Sordariomycetes; Hypocreales; Clavicipitaceae
Rfam family: tRNA
About the family: Transfer RNA (tRNA) molecules are approximately 80 nucleotides in length. Their secondary structure includes four short double-helical elements and three loops (D, anti-codon, and T loops).
Source: Rfam by way of RNAcentral